This is a small nucleolar RNA of Kogia breviceps (pygmy sperm whale), 131 nucleotides long. RefSeq annotates it as small nucleolar RNA SNORD22. The record is from RefSeq and is a predicted model, not a curated record. The transcript has a single exon. Lineage: Eukaryota; Metazoa; Chordata; Mammalia; Artiodactyla; Physeteridae.
UGCCAGUGAGGAGAGCAAGCAUUCAUUCUGUCUUACCCCUGUUCUAGCCCCAGAGCCAGUAAUGGUGAACCCACUGGGGCUAACUGGGAGAGGGGAUGAAAGCGUGUUCCAUAAGGAAGUGUCUGAGGUGC